RNAcentral lists this ribosomal RNA (292 nucleotides) under Staphylococcus aureus. RNAcentral's name for it is "partial 16S ribosomal RNA". It matches the Rfam family "Bacterial small subunit ribosomal RNA", at positions 508 to 798 of the family's 1533-position model. Lineage: Bacteria; Bacillati; Bacillota; Bacilli; Caryophanales; Staphylococcaceae. The record is from RNAcentral.
CCAGCAGCCCGGGUAAUACGUAGGUGGCAAGCGUUAUCCGGAAUUAUUGGGCGUAAAGCGCGCGUAGGCGGUUUUUUAAGUCUGAUGUGAAAGCCCACGGCCCAUUUGUGGAGGGUCAUUGGAAACUGGAAAACUUGAGUGCAGACGUGGAAAGUGGAAUUCCAUGUGUAGCGGUGAAAUGCGCAGAGAUAUGGAGGAACACCAGUGGCGAAGGCGACUUUCUGGUCUGUAACUGACGCUGAUGUGCGAAAGCGUGGGGAUCAAACAGGAUUAGAUACCCUGGUAAAACCCC